This 384-nucleotide ribosomal RNA is filed under the name uncultured bacterium. Its description in RNAcentral is "bacterial SSU rRNA". It matches the Rfam family "Bacterial small subunit ribosomal RNA", at positions 30 to 407 of the family's 1533-position model. The record is from RNAcentral.
AUUGAACGCUGGCGGCAUGCCUUACACAUGCAAGUCGAACGGCAGCAUGACGUGUAGCAAUACACGUUGAUGGCGAGUGGCGAACGGGUGAGUAAUAUAUCGGAACAUGUCCUGUAGCGGGGGAUAACCUAUCGAAAGAUGGACUAAUACCGCAUACGCUCUAUGGAGGAAAGCGGGGGUCGCAAGACCUCGCACUAUAGGAGUGGCCGANAUCGGAUUAGCUAGUUGGCGGGGUAAAAGCCCACCAAGGCGACGAUCCGUAGCUGGUCUGAGAGGAUGAUCAGCCACACUGGAACUGAGACACGGUCCAGACUCCUACGGGAGGCAGCAGUGGGGAAUUUUGGACAAUGGGCGCAAGCCUGAUCCAGCCAUGCCGCGUGAGUG